RNAcentral lists this ribosomal RNA (465 nucleotides) under Vreelandella stevensii. RNAcentral describes it as "partial 16S ribosomal RNA". It matches the Rfam family "Bacterial small subunit ribosomal RNA", at positions 338 to 795 of the family's 1533-position model. Lineage: Bacteria; Pseudomonadati; Pseudomonadota; Gammaproteobacteria; Oceanospirillales; Halomonadaceae. The record is from RNAcentral.
CCUACGGGUGGCAGCAGUGGGGAAUAUUGGACAAUGGGCGAAAGCCUGAUCCAGCCAUGCCGCGUGUGUGAAGAAGGCCUUCGGGUUGUAAAGCACUUUCAGUGGGGAAGAAAGCCUUGGGGCUAAUACCCUCGAGGAAGGACAUCACCCACAGAAGAAGCACCGGCUAACUCCGUGCCAGCAGCCGCGGUAAUACGGAGGGUGCGAGCGUUAAUCGGAAUUACUGGGCGUAAAGCGCGCGUAGGCGGUCUGAUAAGCCGGUUGUGAAAGCCCCGGGCUCAACCUGGGAACGGCAUCCGGAACUGUCAGGCUAGAGUGCAGGAGAGGAAGGUAGAAUUCCCGGUGUAGCGGUGAAAUGCGUAGAGAUCGGGAGGAAUACCAGUGGCGAAGGCGGCCUUCUGGACUGACACUGACGCUGAGGUGCGAAAGCGUGGGUAGCAAACAGGAUUAGAGACCCGGGUAGUC